UUGCUCUUAUGAAGUUAGCGGCGGACGGGUGAGUAACACGUGGGUAACCUGCCCCUGGGACUGGCAUACGUCCCUGAAACCGGGGCUAAUACCGGAUAACAUUUUGAACUGCAUGGUUCGAAAUUGAAAGGCGGCUUCGGCUGUCACUUAUGGAUGGACCCGCGUGCAUUAGCUAGUUGGUGAGGUAACGGCUCACCAAGGCAACGAUGCGUAGCCGACCUGAGAGGGUGAUCGGCCACACUGGGACUGAGACACGGCCCAGACUCCUACGGGAGGCAGCAGUAGGGAAUCUUCCGCAAUGGACGAAAGUCUGACGGAGCAACGCCGCGUGAGUGAUGAAGGCUUUCUGGUCGUAAAACUCUGUUGUUAGGGAAGAACAACUGCUAGUUGAAUAAGCUGGCACCUUGACGGUACCUAACCUGAAACCCACGGCUAACUACGUGCCACCAGCCGCGGUA
This 458-nucleotide ribosomal RNA is filed under the name Bacillus thuringiensis. RNAcentral's name for it is "bacterial SSU rRNA". It matches the Rfam family "Bacterial small subunit ribosomal RNA", at positions 80 to 522 of the family's 1533-position model. Lineage: Bacteria; Bacillati; Bacillota; Bacilli; Caryophanales; Bacillaceae. The record is from RNAcentral.